This is a long non-coding RNA of Magnolia sinica, 1299 nucleotides long. RefSeq lists it as uncharacterized. Lineage: Eukaryota; Viridiplantae; Streptophyta; Magnoliopsida; Magnoliales; Magnoliaceae. The transcript has 3 exons. The record is from RefSeq and is a predicted model, not a curated record.
GACUAAUUUUUUGUUUGAAGGCCAUUGAUCAGAUGGUCAACAUCAUCUUACCAGUUUGAUUUUUGAACAAUGGACAUUCAUAAUAGGUCGUGGCUAAAGGAUUGUUUGGAUGAUCAAAUAUGUAAGCAUGCAUGCUCAUCCAUCAAAUCAAUGGUCUAGAUUACCACCUAUGCUACUGACUGCUGAUAUUCAAUUUCAACACAGUUUUCAUGCCCCAAUGCAGCAUGGCCCUGUACUUUUGUUCUGCUCAUGAGUUGUUUUAGAAUAAAUUAGUGGCACAUUGUUUUUAUAUUUUAAUUAGAAAUUUUUUGACAUACAAGCUCUUGCUCUUGUAGGAGCUAGGAGCUACAAUUUAAUUAGAUUUUUUUUUUUUUUUUGAUAUAUGAGCUCUUGCUUUUACAGGAAAAGCUAAGUGGCACGCAGAGGCGAUUGAAUGGGAUGUAGAGGAUGGCUGUGAAUGAAAAUUUAUUUCUCUUUUAUGUUGUUUCUAUUGGCAUCUUCAUGUAUUAAUGGUGUGGGAUAUUUGGAUGAUCUUUUCAAACUGUAGUAUGACAAUGUGUGUACUUUGUGGGUGUUUUGUUUUUUUUUUUGUGGUGGUUUGGUUUGGCUACUAAUAUGUAUUACUUUAUCUAUGUUCGGAUGUCAUAUGGUCAUUCAAAGUGAAACAGUUAUUUAGAGCGUAGGCUAGGGAGGAGAUCCACAAUGCUUCACCAGGGAGUUUACACAGGUCCAUGAUCAUAGCUGCCCACCAGGUGCAGGUGCAGGCCACAAUCCUGCCUUCCCUGCCCAAAAUUCAGGUGAAGUUUGCUAAGCCCACACAUGGGUGGAGGUGGAGCCUUCCGCAACAAUAUACACCGCAAUGUACAUGGAAAUCUGCUUUGUUUUCCACAUAAAAAGUUGUUUUCUCCAUUAAGAAAAAAGUAUGUUAACUUUACAAGCAUGCAAUGUUGGCAUGUGUGUCGUAUUGCCUCUAUGCAUUAAUGGCCUCAACAUUUCUUAUAAUGUCUAUUAUGCAGUGUUUUUUCUAUAAAAUUUUAUUAUUAAUUUUUCUUUAUAUAUAUAUAUAUAUAUUCCUAUGAACUUUAAAUUCUAGUUUUAUUCUUUGAGAAAUUUUAAAUUAUGGAACAGGAAGGAAGGUCAGGACAACUCGGGGAAUCUUUGGAAACACAUCUUCAAGUUCAAACACCUCUAGAACUGCUGGAGACUCUAGUACAAUGCUGGAGGUUGCAGAGGAGAAGAUCCUGGUGGAUAUAGAGAAGGAGAAGAAUAUGCCAAUCAGUUAGGAGCCCUGUCUUGUGC